UACUAUGAAUAACUCAAUAUAAUAAACAAACAACUGUACAUUACAAAGAUUUUUAGAAAAUCAAAAUAGUGAACUUUGGGAUCAUUUAACUUAACUUAAACGAACAUAUAUACUGAGUGGAUGAGACUGCUUUUAGGUCCCUGUAUGUUGAGAAAAAUCUCAACAAAUAAAUUAUGAGAUGUAGAUAAUUAGCAAUAAGUAAACCUGUAUCUAGUAAUGAAGGUUAGUAACAAGCUAUGGGAGUAUCUUGUAUGGGCAUGUUUAAUGUAUUUCUAUGCUUACAUUCUGUUGUCUAACCGGAGCCUUUGGUCAUUAAAUUGAUAAACAAUAUUGAAUCUUACUAAUGCCCUUGUUCUCUUCUCUUUCCUGAAAAGAAAAUGCAAUUUCUAUGGACUGACACAUUUUAGUAUUCUAUUUUUCUUGUUGUCUCAGACGGUGUCUGUAGGGAGGCGUAAAUUCAGUGCAAAUUUUCAACUUGUCUUCCGACUAAUCAAGGGACUGAUAUUCCUCACUUUUGUUUCGAUUGUAGUCAUUUUGAUUGCCCUUCCGCAUAUGACAGUGCAGGACAUUUUUGUUUGCAUUCUUGCUUUCAUGCCAACUGGUUGGGGAAUGCUGCAGAUUGCUCAAGCAUUAAAACCUUUAGUACGGCGGGCUGGGUUUUGGGGAUCAGUGAAAACUCUUGCUCGAGG
Molecule: small RNA, 689 nt
Filed under: Vigna angularis var. angularis
Lineage: Eukaryota; Viridiplantae; Streptophyta; Magnoliopsida; Fabales; Fabaceae
Description: Non-protein coding transcript
Source: RNAcentral